AUUGAACGCUGGCGGCAUGCCUUACACAUGCAAGUCGAACGGCAGCACGGGAGCUUGCUCCUGGUGGCGAGUGGCGAACGGGUGAGUAAUACAUCGGAACGUACCCUGAAGUGGGGGAUAACGUAGCGAAAGUUACGCUAAUACCGCAUAUUCUGUGAGCAGGAAAGAGGGGGAUCGCAAGACCUCUUGCUUUAGGAGCGGCCGAUGUCGGAUUAGCUAGUUGGUGAGGUAAAGGCUCACCAAGGCGACGAUCCGUAGCGGGUCUGAGAGGAUGAUCCGCCACACUGGGACUGAGACACGGCCCAGACUCCUACGGGAGGCAGCAGUGGGGAAUUUUGGACAAUGGGCGCAAGCCUGAUCCAGCCAUGCCGCGUGAGUGAAGAAGGCCUC
Molecule: ribosomal RNA, 390 nt
Filed under: uncultured bacterium
Lineage: Bacteria
Description: bacterial SSU rRNA
Rfam family: Bacterial small subunit ribosomal RNA
Source: RNAcentral